UACGUAGGGUGCAAGCGUUGUCCGGAAUUAUUGGGCGUAAAGGGCUCGUAGGCGGUCAGUCGCGUCUGCUGUGAAAACUCGGGGCUUAACCCCGGGCCUGCAGUGGGUACGGGCUGACUAGAGUGCGGUAGGGGAGACUGGAAUUCCUGGUGUAGCGGUGAAAUGCGCAGAUAUCAGGAGGAACACCGAUGGCGAAGGCAGGUCUCUGGGCAUUAACUGACGCUGAGGAGCGAAAGCAUGGGGAGCGAACAGG
Molecule: ribosomal RNA, 253 nt
Filed under: uncultured bacterium
Lineage: Bacteria
Description: partial 16S ribosomal RNA
Rfam family: Bacterial small subunit ribosomal RNA
Source: RNAcentral